This 446-nucleotide ribosomal RNA is filed under the name uncultured bacterium. Its description in RNAcentral is "partial 16S ribosomal RNA". It matches the Rfam family "Bacterial small subunit ribosomal RNA", at positions 338 to 795 of the family's 1533-position model. The record is from RNAcentral.
CCUACGGGUGGCAGCAGUCGAGAAUCAUUCACAAUGGGGGAAACCCUGAUGCUGCGACGCCGCGUGGGGGAAUGAAGGUCUUCGGAUUGUAAACCCCUUUCAUGUGGGAGCAAAUUAAAAAGAUAGUACCACAAGAGGAAGAGACGGCUAACUCUGUGCCAGCAGCCGCGGUAAUACAGAGGUCUCAAGCGUUGUUCGGAAUCACUGGGCGUAAAGGGUGCGUAGGCGGUUUCGUAAGUCGGGUGUGAAAGGCGCGGGCUUAACCCGCGGACGGCACAUGAUACUGCGAGACUAGAGUAAUGGAGGGGGAACCGGAAUUCUCGGUGUAGCAGUGAAAUGCGUAGAUAUCGAGAGGAACACUCGUGGCGAAGGCGGGUUCCUGGACAGUAACUGACGCUGAGGCACGAAGGCGAGGGGAGCGAAAGGGAUUAGAUACCCUUGUAGUC